UUUUUCCUCCACUUUGUGUGUGUAUGGUGACCUCAACUGACAAUGACCGUCUGAAAAUCUACUCCUUCCAAGCCUAAUUAUGUUGGAUGUUUGCUGAAGGGUGAGAUAUGCUGCUUGCUCUGUAGGGCACAUACCAAACACCUGCUUGCCAUGCAGAGUGGGCUUUGCCAUUCAAAGUUUGUGUGCUGCACAGGGAGAGAGCAGAUGUAAGGUGCAUGGGCUCAGCUUCAGAAGGCAGCCAUGUGCCCCCCCAUUAUAACUGCCGUGGGGAGUAGGGGAGGGAACAGAGGUAAAAGCUACAACAGGAAAACAGGACUGUGGCAACAUUUUGCUUCUUUCCUUUGCCUCCAUCUUUCCCCCUGCGGCCAGAAAGAGCGGAUGCACUGGGGCCAUUUUGACUCCUGAGUGGGAUCGCAAGGCCUGCGUGCAGGGCUGUCCCUAGCAUAUGCAGAAGACAUAGCUGCGUAGGGCACCAUGAAAUUUGCAGCAUCAAAUUGCCCCAAAUUUCAUGGUGCCCUAGGCAGUUGUGUGUUGCAUACAUGGCAGCACCAGCUCCGGCAGCCACCUCUAUCCCCCAGCUGGCCCCCCACGGUCUGAGCCUCCUGCAAGGAGCAGGCCCAUCCCUAGUGGCUGUGGGGCCUGGGACAACUCCCUUGGCCCUGCCUCUUAAUCUUUCCCCCUGCUCUGCCCCUGGCCUACCCCCAUUCCACCUCUUUGCCCCCUAAGCCUCUUCCCCCAGCGACCCCACACUCACCGGCAGUAGGGCCUCAACUCUGGGUGACUCUGCUGGGGAUCAUGCCUGGCUUCCCUUUUGUGGCAGUGAUUCUUGAGUGUAACCCCACCCAGUCACCCCUCACCCAGGCUUCCUGGCACAGUCACAGGGCUGGGGGAGGCAGAUACCAGUGGACAAAUCAUAUUUGGAAUGGCUGUUUGUACUUCAGGCAGUGUGGCUGAGGUGCCAGCUGGGGGCAGUGCUGCUCUGGGGACGAGUGGCCCUCUCCCUUUCUGUGAGGAGCUGCGAGGGGUGGCCUACGUGAAGGGGAGGGAUUCUCAUCCCUUUCUAUUUUUAAAAGUGGCUGUAGCUUUUCCCAUGCAGUGUAAAUUGUUACUAUGCAGCGCGGAUGCCUUUGUUCUGCGUGAAGCCGGCACGAGUAGGCAAAAGCUGACUGGCAGGGGUUGCCUCGCACUGUGCCCGAUCUUGGCUUCAGAGCACAGGGGUGAGGAGAGUGGGGCCGUCCCGCCCAGCCACAGAAGUGCAGAGUCCUGGGGCUGCUGGUUAUGCUGUCAGGCCUGGCCACCUGGACUCUGAGCAGAGACACCGUUCUCCACCCCUCCACUUCCCAUAGGCUGGCUUUCCAAUCAGUUUGCAGUGAACAUGAGGUUGCCUUGGGGAGCCUUUUCUACCCCACAGCAUGGGCACAGCUUGAGAAGUAGCAGGGCGAGCUUCUUCUGUGCUCUGGUAGCAAAGGGCCUUACUUGUUGUCUGGCAUGGAAGAGAGGGGUUUGGCCUCCCAUUAUAUGUCCUUUCUAUCUGAUUGCUCCUUUCACCUCCUGCCUCUGGCCUUUUCUUUCUCCCCCCACCCAGAGCAGGGUGUCUCCCUCCUCUCAGCCUGUUUCACCCUCACUUCUUGCCUCUCUUCCCCUCCCCCUCCCCUCACCAGCUCUUGCAUCCCGUAUGUCAGCUGCUCUGGGACUGUUGGUAAAACGUCUUACACUGCUGUCGAAGGGCCAGCCCCUCACCGCAGCUCAGCAGCCACUAUGGGGGUCUUUAGCCCAGCAUGAAGCUGCCAAACCAGAGGUGAGUUAGGAACGGGGCUAGAUGGACACAGGACCGGACCGGCCCCACACAGAUAGAAGCAGGGUCACUUUCCCCUGUAGCACCCAUCAGCAUACCACCUAGCUGGUAUGAGGUGACUGGCACAGUAUGAGAACCUCUAGAGAGUAGACUAGACUUCCCACACUCCAUUUGAUCCUUGGUCUCCCUACUGCACCUACCCAUAUGGAGCCAGCUGUAAUGUGGAGUCAGAACCCCUCCCAUUGGCCACCAAGUGACCAUCUGCUGGUGUUGACUUGUGAUGGUGUCAGCCUGGACUGGAUCUGCCGUGCCAGCCUGGAGGCAAAGGUGCUGUCCCGUUCCCUGUUCCUACAGCCAUUGGGCUACCUUGCUAUCUCUCUUGCACUCCACAGCAUGAGGACAGUCUGCUGCCUGUCUAGGCAAGGCUGCAGAGGCCAUGAGAUGCAAUGGAAGUGCAGGUGGGACAAAGCAGCCCGAUCUACAUCAGGGAUUUGCUGUGAAUGUCAGGCUGGAGUAACCCAGAGGCCAGGAUCAGUUUGGUUUACCCAAGCUUAGCUUCGGACUGCCUGUGAGAUGGGGGCCCAGGUUCGGCUGCAGAAUUGAGCAGAUGUUGAUGUCCCACAAGCUGCCCUACUGCGGCCUGGCCUUGUAGAGAGUUGCCCAAAACUGCUAAGGCAAGGAGGCAGCUUGAGAGGGUGACAGCUGACUCUGGAGUCCCACGUAGGAAGUUGAGAGCCAAGGCCCAAAUUCAUCCCUAGUGUAACACCGCUGAGGUCGAUGGAUGGGUCUCAGUGUAUCCCCCCAUCCAGCACACAAGGCUCCCCCCACCCCGCCCCAAGCGAUACCAGGGAAGCCUCCCCUGUGAAGCAAGUUUGGGCUCUGGCCAGUGCUACCUGUGACAGGAAGCUCACCCCAGACUUCAGUCCAGGCACCACACAUGGGGGUUUGGUGUUCCCAGGCUCUUAUGAAGAGGGGAGGGGAUGGAAGUGAGGGGCCACAGCAAGGAGGGGGCUGGGGAGAAGCAGAUGGAGUUAGUCAUUGCUGCAGCGUCUGGUGUGGGGGAGGCAAAGCGCAGCCAAUGAUACCACCUGUCUGCUGGCACCAAUGGUGUCAGCAGUGCGCCGAGCCCAUCCCAGCACUGACACUCCACGGUAGUGACUGACAGCCCAGUGACAAUUUAGUGGGAGUGAAAAUGCUCCUUCUCUUAUGGCCUUGGAGGCUGCAUUCACCUCAUGCCACUAGUGCCUUUAGGAGCAGCCUUAGUCUCUCCCUUGUUGGCUGGCAAGCAAGACUCAGCUUCAUUGCAGAUGUCAGUGCCUGUGUGCACUAGACAUGGAGAUGCUUGCACCAAACACCUGCAUCUGCCAUGCCCCAUCACACACACAGCCAUGCGCCCAGAGGCACGCUCGCCCAGCUGUCCUGCCACAGCCACGUGUACCCAUCUGAGUUCUAUAACUACCUGUACAGCCAGAUGCUGUCAGAUCCCCACAGCACCAUGCACACGUGUAUGUUCAUAGAGCUGCGGGUAUGCCUGCACACUCUGACCCUAAGCGCGAGUGGUGUGUGCACAUGUCCAGUGUAUCACUCAGCUGUGCCCAAACAUACCUGGAUAUACCCCAUCUGCAGCCUGAUGCUCUCUCACUUGCUCCCCAGUGUGUAAACCCCUCCCCCAGGAGCUGGGAAAUCUCCAGAGCUCGGUAUGCUUAGGAAAAGGUAUUUGCCAUUGAAAUAAAAAUUGCUGCUUUCCUG
Non-coding RNA from Chelonoidis abingdonii (Abingdon island giant tortoise), 3544 nucleotides. NCBI's taxonomy places the organism in Eukaryota, Metazoa, Chordata, Testudines, Testudinidae. The record is from RefSeq and is a predicted model, not a curated record.